This 255-nucleotide ribosomal RNA is filed under the name uncultured bacterium. RNAcentral's name for it is "partial 16S ribosomal RNA". It matches the Rfam family "Bacterial small subunit ribosomal RNA", at positions 524 to 776 of the family's 1533-position model. The record is from RNAcentral.
UACAGAGGUCCCAAGCGUUGUUCGGAUUCACUGGGCGUAAAGGGUGCGUAGGCGGUCGGGUAAGUCUGAUGUGAAAUCUCACAGCUUAACUGUGAAACUGCAUUGGAUACUAUCCGGCUCGAGGAAUGGAGGGGAGACUGGAUUACUUGGUGUAGCAGUGAAAUGCGUAGAUAUCAAGUGGAACACCAGUGGCGAAGGCGAGUCUCUGGACAUUUUCCUGACGCUGAGGCACGAAAGCCAGGGGGAGCAAACGGG